RNAcentral lists this ribosomal RNA (431 nucleotides) under uncultured bacterium. RNAcentral's name for it is "partial 16S ribosomal RNA". It matches the Rfam family "Bacterial small subunit ribosomal RNA", at positions 29 to 507 of the family's 1533-position model. The record is from RNAcentral.
AACGAACGCUGGCGGCAGGCUUAACACAUGCAAGUCGAACGCCCCGCAAGGGGAGUGGCCGACGGGUGAGUAACGCGUGGGAACAUACCCUUUCCUGCGGAAUAGCUCCGGGAAACUGGAAUUAAUACCGCAUACGCCCUACGGGGGAAAGAUUUAUCGGGGAAGGAUUGGCCCGCGUUGGAUUAGCUAGUUGGUGGGGUAAAGGCCUACCAAGGCGACGAUCCAUAGCUGGUCUGGGAGGAUGAUCAGCCACAUUGGGACUGAGACACGGCCCAAACUCCUACGGGAGGCAGCAGUGGGGAAUAUUGGACAAUGGGCGCAAGCCUGAUCCAGCCAUGCCGCGUGAGUGAUGAAGGCCUUAGGGUUGUAAAGCUCUUUCACCGAUGAAGAUAAUGACGGUAGUCGGAGAAGAAGCCCCGGCUAACUUCGUG